GUGCUUGCUUCAGCAGCACACGUGCUAAGAUUGGAACAAAACAGAGAAGAUUAGCAUGGCCCCUGCACAAAAAUGACUUGCAAAAUUUGUAAAAGUUUCCUUGAGAG
Vulpes vulpes (red fox) is the source of this 107-nucleotide small nuclear RNA. The record is from Ensembl. Lineage: Eukaryota; Metazoa; Chordata; Mammalia; Carnivora; Canidae.